GAUGAACGCUAGCGGCAGGCCUAAUACAUGCAAGUCGAACGGUCAGUAGCAAUACUGAUAGUGGCGCACGGGUGCGUAACACGUAACUAACCUACCUAUAACUGGGGGAUAGCCCGCCGAAAGGCGGAUUAAUACCGCAUAAGCUGCUUGGGUGGCAUCACCUGAAUAGUAAAGAUUUAUUGGUUAUAGAUGGGGUUGCGGGUCAUUAGCUAGUUGGUAAGGUAACGGCUUACCAAGGCGACGAUGACUAGGGGAGCUGAGAGGCUGGUCCCCCACACGGGCACUGAGAUACGGGCCCG
This 299-nucleotide ribosomal RNA is filed under the name uncultured bacterium. Its description in RNAcentral is "partial 16S ribosomal RNA". It matches the Rfam family "Bacterial small subunit ribosomal RNA", at positions 28 to 334 of the family's 1533-position model. The record is from RNAcentral.